ACCUUUGUCCCCGAAUUUGGUUCGUCCGAGCAUUCCUGCCACGACGAUUAAAAGGGAAACAGGUGAGAAUCCUGUACAGUCCCGCUGCUGUAAGCUCUUUUUCAGUUAGCAGUUAACAAUCAUCCGUUAACAGUUGAAUUGAAAACAACGUAUUGAACAACACUUUUGCCACUGAAGACAAUCAACAGUCACCAGUUUACGGUCACAGUUUUAUUGAUAGCUGUUAACUGAACACUGCUAACUGAUUCGGGAAGGCGUUCAACUACGGGAGCAAGUCAGAAGACCUGCCAAACAAUAGUCAAUUUU
RNAcentral lists this non-coding RNA (306 nucleotides) under Bacteroidales bacterium. The record is from RNAcentral. Lineage: Bacteria; Pseudomonadati; Bacteroidota; Bacteroidia; Bacteroidales.